GGUGCCCUCUCUAGUUUUAUAAAUAGGAGGCGGCAGAUUGGGUUAUUCAUUCAGUCCAGACAACCCUAUCCACUUCCUCUCUUAUGACCCUAAGAUUUAGGACAAUGUUUGGUCUUUUUAAGACAAGCUUGUUCUAAUAGAAAAUAGAUUUUAAGAGCUCUUGAAGAAGGUGGUCAAGACCAGAAGAAGGUUCUGAUAGAUCCAGACUCAAGUC
Molecule: long non-coding RNA, 214 nt
Filed under: Elaeis guineensis (African oil palm)
Lineage: Eukaryota; Viridiplantae; Streptophyta; Magnoliopsida; Arecales; Arecaceae
Description: long non-coding RNA (EGUI_LNC021935)
Source: RNAcentral